Etheostoma spectabile (orangethroat darter) is the source of this 80-nucleotide long non-coding RNA. RefSeq lists it as uncharacterized. The transcript is spliced from 3 exons. NCBI's taxonomy places the organism in Eukaryota, Metazoa, Chordata, Actinopteri, Perciformes, Percidae. The record is from RefSeq and is a predicted model, not a curated record.
UCCAUUCACAUAUGGAUAGGUCCCAUGGACCGGAAGUAGAAGGGCGUGACUUUGGCUCUCUACAUAACAUAUCGGUCUAU